RNAcentral lists this ribosomal RNA (207 nucleotides) under uncultured bacterium. Its description in RNAcentral is "partial 16S ribosomal RNA". It matches the Rfam family "Bacterial small subunit ribosomal RNA", at positions 568 to 774 of the family's 1533-position model. The record is from RNAcentral.
UGCGUAGGUGGCAUGGUAAGUCGGGUGUGAAAUCCCGGGGCUCAACCCCGGAACUGCACUCGAUACUGCCGUGCUCGAGUACUGGAGAGGAGACUGGAAUUUACGGUGUAGCAGUGAAAUGCGUAGAUAUCGUAAGGAAGACCGGUGGCGAAGGCUAGUCUCUGGACAGUUACUGACACUGAGGCACGAAGGCCAGGGGAGCAAACG